CUCAAAUAGGUCUGAUAAAAAUCACGGUUUUAAAAAAUUAAAUGUUAACAGAAAACUCCAUUCUCUCUAACUCUUCCCAAAGAUUUUUAGAAGCCAUUCCUACAUUAACUUAAGAACUGUAGCUUCCACUCUUCCUUCACUCCCUACCUAUGGGGCAUGUACAGGAUGUUGGCUUCAGAACAUAUUUGACAGAUGGUUCCCUUAGCCAGGCUAAGAUGCUGUUUUGCCACAAUAGCAGGGGCACCAUGGCAACCAUUCUAGAAGGUUUGUUAAGAGGAGAUGAGCUUAGAAGCACAUUCAUUUGACACACAACUCCUGAACUUCAUUGGUGCCCAUGACUAUUGCCAUUGUUGACUUGCAGCCUUGACCCAGUCCCCUCUGAGGAUGAGAUUCUGUCCUGUUCAUUUCACAAGUCUCCUAGCCCCUUGGCACUUAGUGAAUUUCAUCGGUGUAACGAACAUUUCUUGAGCGAUGUGCCCAACAGUGCUCCACAUUUGGAUACAAAACCUUAAGUGAUGGAUCUCCAGCCUCAGGGAGUUUAGAGUUGCUGAAAGAAUCCGAGCCACCAUCCUGAAAAAUAAAACACUUUCGGGCCCUUUUUCAAAUUA
Acinonyx jubatus (cheetah) is the source of this 608-nucleotide long non-coding RNA. RefSeq lists it as uncharacterized. Lineage: Eukaryota; Metazoa; Chordata; Mammalia; Carnivora; Felidae. The record is from RefSeq and is a predicted model, not a curated record. The transcript has 2 exons.